Molecule: ribosomal RNA, 336 nt
Filed under: uncultured bacterium
Lineage: Bacteria
Description: bacterial SSU rRNA
Rfam family: Bacterial small subunit ribosomal RNA
Source: RNAcentral
CUAGUAUAUAUCAGUUAGUUGACUCGUGCCAGGAUGAACGCUGGCUGUGUGCCUAAUACAUGCAUGUCGAGCGAAGUGAUUUAUCACUUAGCGGCGAAUGGGUGAGUAACACGUACUCAACGUACCCUUCAGUUUGGCAUAGCGGUUGGAAACAACCGAUAAUUCCAAAUACUUGUAGAUGCCGCAUGGCAUUUACGGAAAAGACGCCUUAAAGCGUCGCUGGAGGAGCGGGGUGCGCAACAUUAGCUAGUUGGUGAGGUAACGGCCCACCAAGGCGAUGAUGUUUAGCGGGGCUGAGAGACUGAUCCGCCACACUGGGACUGAGAUACGGCCCAG